GUGAUAAUAAAGAUAUCAACACUGACUAUUUUACACAUGUUUAUCUGUUUUCUUGCAGAUCUUGUUAAAGCAGUAUUUUUAAUUCUGAAUACAUGUCAAAGAUAGGUGAAGAAUAAGAUCUUGUCUUCUUUGUCACUGAAAAAGAAUUAAGAAAAACCCUUUGGCUGCCCCUUAAUCUACUGCUAUUUCAGCCAGCAAUUGCAACUUUGCAGUUACCAGGCUGCUUCUCUGCCAGCAGCCUGACUACUCAGGCUGCACCCUGGAGGGAAUUCUGUUCCUGAGCUUUUAGGGCCUCCUAUUCCUCAUGUGUCAAACUUCCUAAUCAGACAGUAUCCUAGGCAAGUCUUUCUUAUUUUAUUAAUUCUCUGGGAUAUUGUUGUACGUGAGCCUUCCUCUGAGUCUCAUUUUUCCAUAAAGA
This 418-nucleotide long non-coding RNA is filed under the name Cricetulus griseus (Chinese hamster). RNAcentral describes it as "lncRNA (ENSCGRG00000026509.1)". The record is from RNAcentral. Lineage: Eukaryota; Metazoa; Chordata; Mammalia; Rodentia; Cricetidae.